This 465-nucleotide ribosomal RNA is filed under the name Vreelandella stevensii. RNAcentral's name for it is "partial 16S ribosomal RNA". It matches the Rfam family "Bacterial small subunit ribosomal RNA", at positions 338 to 795 of the family's 1533-position model. The record is from RNAcentral. Lineage: Bacteria; Pseudomonadati; Pseudomonadota; Gammaproteobacteria; Oceanospirillales; Halomonadaceae.
CCUACGGGGGGCUGCAGUGGGGAAUAUUGGACAAUGGGGGGAACCCUGAUCCAGCCAUGCCGCGUGUGUGAAGAAGGCCCUCGGGUUGUAAAGCACUUUCAGUGAGGAAGAACGCCUGGUGGUUAAUACCCAUCAGGAAAGACAUCACUCACAGAAGAAGCACCGGCUAACUCCGUGCCAGCAGCCGCGGUAAUACGGAGGGUGCGAGCGUUAAUCGGAAUUACUGGGCGUAAAGUGCGCGUAGGUGGCUUGAUAAGCCGGUUGUGAAAGCCCCGGGCUCAACCUGGGAACGGCAUCCGGAACUGUCAAGCUAGAGUGCAGGAGAGGAAGGUAGAAUUCCCGGUGUAGCGGUGAAAUGCGUAGAGAUCGGGAGGAAUACCAGUGGCGAAGGCGGCCUUCUGGACUGACACUGACACUGAGGUGCGAAAGCGUGGGUAGCAAACAGGAUUAGAUACCCUUGUAGUC